CAGAAACAGCUAUCAAAGAGAAACAAGACGAUCAUAAAAAAUAAAGGAGCACACACUACAGUAGCAAGAGAUAUGGUAUGAAUAACAAGGAAGACAUGACUAUCAAGAGCACAAGACAUACACACCUGCAGCUUCUAGUAAAGCUUCCAGUCUAGCCUGUGUCUCUGGAUCUACCGUCCUGAGGUCUGCACCGUCAGCAGUGCCUGAUAAGAGCAACUUGGAAGCUGUUUCCAGCAUUGGAUUCUCCAAAUCAUCCUGGUCCAAAAUGAAAGACUCCACCUAGAACAGAAAAAGAAGACAGGAAAGAGGAGAAGAGGACAAAAACAAAAUAAGAUCAGAGGGAGAAAAAUAUAUUUAGCAUAAUUACCAAUGAAGACAGGAAACUUUUGCAGACUCACAUGAAUUGACACUAUGGUG
Long non-coding RNA from Peromyscus eremicus (cactus mouse), 417 nucleotides. RefSeq lists it as uncharacterized. The transcript has 3 exons. The record is from RefSeq and is a predicted model, not a curated record. Lineage: Eukaryota; Metazoa; Chordata; Mammalia; Rodentia; Cricetidae.